GGUCAUAAGACAUCGUCUCACAUUGUAUUGAAAGAAGAAACCAGAAUGAUGGGGGCUGCCCAAGUAAUGAUUGGUCUGAUCCACUGUGUUCUGGGAUAUUUCUGGAUAUACUUAUAUGUCAGAGAAUUUGAAUCAGUUUCAAUAAAUUAUCUGCCUUUAACGUUGAUGUCAGGAUACCCAUUUUGGGCAUUCUUGUUUUUUAUCAUAUCAGGAAUUUUUUCAAUAGAAGCAGAGAAGACACGUUCCCCAAAAUUGGUAAG
Molecule: long non-coding RNA, 260 nt
Organism: Mustela lutreola (European mink)
Lineage: Eukaryota; Metazoa; Chordata; Mammalia; Carnivora; Mustelidae
Exons: 3
Source: RefSeq, a predicted model, not a curated record